RNAcentral lists this ribosomal RNA (255 nucleotides) under uncultured bacterium. Its description in RNAcentral is "partial 16S ribosomal RNA". It matches the Rfam family "Bacterial small subunit ribosomal RNA", at positions 524 to 776 of the family's 1533-position model. The record is from RNAcentral.
UACAGAGGGUGCGAGCGUUGUUCGGAAUUAUUGGGCGUAAAGCGCGUGUAGGCGGCUCGUUAUGUCGGGUGUGAAAGCCCUCAGCUUAACUGAGGAAGUGCGCCCGAAACUGGCGAGCUUGAGUGCCGGAGAGGAUAGCGGAACACCCGGUGUAGAGGUGAAAAUUCGUAGAUAUCGGGUAGAACACCAGUGGCGAAGGCGGCUAUCUGGACGGUAACUGACGCUGAGACGCGAAAAGCGUGGGGAGCAAACAGG